Long non-coding RNA from Scaptodrosophila lebanonensis, 501 nucleotides. RefSeq lists it as uncharacterized. The transcript has 2 exons. The record is from RefSeq and is a predicted model, not a curated record. Lineage: Eukaryota; Metazoa; Arthropoda; Insecta; Diptera; Drosophilidae.
CUGUUUUACACAUGCGAAUAACAAAAUGUCGCCUAUUCCAAUUGUGAUAUUGUUGGGUUACACAAUUUUUAGCACAAUAUUGACAAAAUCAGCUGCUCGUAAGUGUGGAAUCCACGAGGAAUCUGUUUGUGUUAGACCUCUUUCAUGCGACGCACCAUGCAGUACGUGCGCGGAACUCUUCUGUGCAUGUAAGGUUGGCUACAGAACCAAACGCCUGAAGGGUGGCACUAAAAUCUGCAAGCGACGUACAAAAUCAAAUUCCGGAUUGCUCUAAAAUAUGUGAACUAUACAAAAUGCUGGAUCUCUUUUAGUUAUAAACCCAAAGGUUAUUAAAGGAGGAAAGAAGGAGGUGUAAGAAGUCACAAGCCACAAAACCAAGUCACAAAUACUUGUAGCCUCUUCCGACUGGUCGUCAUUUCUGUAUGUAUUCAAAAGCAAGAGGGGGGAAUUUUAAAGACAACAUUAAUCAGCAGUUUUAAAAAAGUAAACAUGUGAAUAUCA